This 489-nucleotide ribosomal RNA is filed under the name uncultured bacterium. RNAcentral describes it as "partial 16S ribosomal RNA". It matches the Rfam family "Bacterial small subunit ribosomal RNA", at positions 30 to 506 of the family's 1533-position model. The record is from RNAcentral.
AUUGAACGCUGGCGGCAGGCCUAACACAUGCAAGUCGAACGGUAACAGGAAGAAGCUUGCUUCUUUGCUGACGAGUGGCGGACGGGUGAGUAAUGUCUGGGAAACUGCCUGAUGGAGGGGGAUAACUACUGGAAACGGUAGCUAAUACCGCAUAAUGUCGCAAGACCAAAGAGGGGGACCUUCGGGCCUCUUGCCAUCGGCUGUGCCCAGAUGGGAUUAGCUAGUAGGUGGGGUAACGGCUCACCUAGGCGCCGAUCCCUAGCUGGUCUGAGAGGAUGACCCGCCACACUGGAACUGGGACACGGUCCAGCCUCCUACGGGAGGCAGCAGUGGGGAAUAUUGCACAAUGGGCGCAAGCCUGAUGCAGCUAUGCCGCGUGUAUGAAGAAGGCCUGCGGGUUGUAAAGUACUUUCAGCGGGGAGGAAGGGAGUAAAGUUAAGACCUUUGCUCAUUGACGUUACCCGCAGAAGAAGCACCGGCUAACUCCGG